This 520-nucleotide ribosomal RNA is filed under the name uncultured Glomus. RNAcentral describes it as "SSU rRNA". It matches the Rfam family "Eukaryotic small subunit ribosomal RNA", at positions 569 to 1088 of the family's 1831-position model. The record is from RNAcentral. Lineage: Eukaryota; Fungi; Glomeromycota; Glomeromycetes; Glomerales; Glomeraceae.
AGCAGCCGCGGUAAUUCCAGCUCCAAUAGCGUAUAUUAAAGUUGUUGCAGUUAAAAAGCUCGUAGUUGAAUUUCGGGGUUAGUAGGUUGGUCGUGCCACUGGUACGUACUGGUCUCACUGAUUCCUCCUUCUUGAUGAACUGUAAUGCCAUUAAUUUGGUGUUGCAGGGAAACUGGACUGUUACUUUGAAAAAAUUUAGAGUGUUUAAAGCAAGCUAACGCUUGAAUACAUUAGCAUGGAAUAAUGAAAUAGGACGUUCGAUCCUAUUUUGUUGGUUUCUAGGAUUGACGUAAUGAUUAAUAGGGAUAGUUGGGGGCAUUAGUAUUCAAUUGUCAGAGGUGAAAUUCUUGGAUUUAUUGAAGACUAACUACUGCGAAAGCAUUUGCCAAGGAUGUUUUCAUUAAUCAAGAACGAAAGUUAGGGGAUCGAAGACGAUCAGAUACCGUCGUAGUCUUAACCAUAAACUAUGCCGACUAGGGAUCGGAUGAUGUUAAUUUUUUAAUGACUCAUUUCGGCGCCU